GCUCUCAUAACUUAGUUGGUUAGAGCGCACGCUUAGUAAGCGGAGAUCAUGAGUUUGACUCUCAUUUAAAGCA
Molecule: transfer RNA, 73 nt
Filed under: Nicotiana sylvestris (wood tobacco)
Lineage: Eukaryota; Viridiplantae; Streptophyta; Magnoliopsida; Solanales; Solanaceae
Also listed under: 1 other name
Rfam family: tRNA
About the family: Transfer RNA (tRNA) molecules are approximately 80 nucleotides in length. Their secondary structure includes four short double-helical elements and three loops (D, anti-codon, and T loops). Further hydrogen bonds mediate the characteristic L-shaped molecular structure. tRNAs have two regions of fundamental functional importance: the anti-codon, which is responsible for specific mRNA codon recognition, and the 3' end, to which the tRNAs corresponding amino acid is attached (by aminoacyl-tRNA synthetases). tRNAs cope with the degeneracy of the genetic code in two manners: having more than one tRNA (with a specific anti-codon) for a particular amino acid; and 'wobble' base-pairing, i.e. permitting non-standard base-pairing at the 3rd anti-codon position.
Source: Rfam by way of RNAcentral